AAAAUGUGUCUGGAAUUGGUGGGUUCUUGGUCUUACUGACUUUAAGAAUAAAGUUGCAGACUUUUGUGGUGAUCCACUCUACCUCAUAUUGUCUUAUAAUGGCCAUCCAGUUUAUCCUAGAGCCCUUGUAUGACACAUGCCUAUUGGAGCAUAGGAAUGCCAAUAUUUUACCUCUUGGGUACUUUCUGUGUAGAAGAUUCAUAACAAGAACAAUGCUUAUUCUGCAAUUCUUUAUAUAAAGUAAGAAGAAAGCCCAAAGACAAAACCAGAGACAACUGGCUGCUGCAUCGCCCACCCAGUGGCAGUAGUGUGAGCUAUGGACAAAAGAUCUAAGUCUCCGGGACAAAGAGUUGUGCAGCUGCUCAUUUUCCUGUUGACUUCUAAGACUUGGAGAUUUUUGUGAGAUUGGGACCUAUCUACAGAGCUCCAGAGGGAAGUGAGAAGGAUGUUCACUUGCUGGUGAGAGAAGGAGCUGGUU
RNAcentral lists this non-coding RNA (478 nucleotides) under Pongo abelii (Sumatran orangutan). Lineage: Eukaryota; Metazoa; Chordata; Mammalia; Primates; Hominidae. The record is from RNAcentral.